GGAGCGGCUGCUUCUGGCGUCGGGAAGGCGCUCGGGGAGAGCACGGAGCUGCCGUCAGCACCGAUGUUGUGUCAGGAGCUGUCAACGACAGAAAAUGGAAUGCUUGAAGGAGAAAGAGCAGAACCGUCAGAGAUAGACCGCGCCAUCUGGUGACCUUAAUUUAAAGGAGGGGACAGGACGGCUGUUUGGAGCAGCAGAACUGACGUUUCCAUGGAGGUGCGGCUGCAAGAUGAAGUGCUGGGUUUGUCGAGCAAACAGAAGCCUUGAGAUAAGGUCCUGCUGGUCGUACCAGGGCUCCUCUUCCUCGCUCUGAAACUCCUCCAUCCUGUCGGCGCUCAGCAUUUAGCAGCAGCGGCCGGGGGAGGCGAGCAGCAUGCGCCGAGGGGGCCCCACCGCCGCCGGCAGCGGGGAUGGAGGCAGGGAUGCGGCCUCGGUGCCCCGGGCGGGCCGGGAAGCGGGUGGUACGACGUGGCAACCGGC
Molecule: long non-coding RNA, 480 nt
Filed under: Gallus gallus (chicken)
Lineage: Eukaryota; Metazoa; Chordata; Aves; Galliformes; Phasianidae
Description: long non-coding RNA NONGGAT003354
Source: RNAcentral